AAAGUCGUAACAAGGUCUCCGUUGGUGAACCAGCGGAGGGAUCAUUACAGAGUUGCAAAACUCCCACAACCAUCGCGAACGUUACCUAUACCGUUGCUUCGGCGGGCCCCGCGCCCGCCGGCGGCAUACCAAACUCUUGUUUAUAUAGGCCUCUCUGAGUAUUUUGACAAAUAAGUUAAAACUUUCAACAACGGAUCUCUUGGUUCUG
Molecule: unclassified non-coding RNA, 208 nt
Filed under: Ascomycota sp.
Lineage: Eukaryota; Fungi; Ascomycota
Description: partial contains small subunit ribosomal RNA, internal transcribed spacer 1, and 5.8S ribosomal RNA
Rfam family: Eukaryotic small subunit ribosomal RNA (bases 1-47)
Source: RNAcentral